RNAcentral lists this transfer RNA (90 nucleotides) under Pelotomaculum schinkii. Its description in RNAcentral is "tRNA-Ser". It matches the Rfam family "tRNA". Rfam says of the family: Transfer RNA (tRNA) molecules are approximately 80 nucleotides in length. Lineage: Bacteria; Bacillati; Bacillota; Clostridia; Eubacteriales; Desulfotomaculaceae. RNAcentral also lists the same sequence under 5 other names. The record is from RNAcentral.
GGAGAGAUGGCCGAGUGGAUGAAGGCGCACGCCUGGAGAGCGUGUGGACGGGUAACUGUCUCGUGAGUUCGAAUCUCACUCUCUCCGCCA